Molecule: unclassified non-coding RNA, 1685 nt
Filed under: Schistocerca americana (American grasshopper)
Lineage: Eukaryota; Metazoa; Arthropoda; Insecta; Orthoptera; Acrididae
Description: tubulin-specific chaperone E, transcript variant X2
Source: RNAcentral
AAAUAAUAAAAUAAAUACUGCUGAAAUGUGAAAGGAAGAUUCUUUCCACAAACAUCCUUGAGUAAUUCCAUGGUGAUCCAGAGAUAAAACAGUCUUAUGCUCCUUCGAAUACAGUAAACGGCACAAAAUUGUGAACGUCAAAUGAAUGUUUUGUCUUGAUAAUGAUUGGCCCAAAUAUUCCUGGGAACACGACAAAAGAUGAGUUCUCAUUACUUCAGUUGGGUCAGCGCAUAGAAUGCAGUGGUUCAUAUGGAACUGUGAAGUACAUUGGAGAAGUGCCACCAACUAAAGGAAUAUGGCUGGGUAUUGACUGGGAUGAGCCACAUAGAGGAAAGCAUGAUGGAAUGUACAAUGAUGUUAGAUAUUUCAAGGCAAGGUUUCCUCAGUCAGGAUCCUUCAUUCGCCCAGCCAAAGCUAACUUUGGAGUCAGUUGCCCUGAAGCAAUCAGGGAACGAUACGGAGAAGUGAAAGGAGAUGAAACUGCUGGAAUUGACAGGAAAGGAUUGGAACUCUUACAAAAGGAAAUCAAUGCUAGAUUUCUGGAAGUAGUGGGGUUUGACAAGGUUAAUAGACAACAGAGUGAUUUCAGUAAACUUCAAGUUGUAUGGUUAAGGGAACAUCAAGUGAGCACUGCUGGUAGUCCAGGUGAGCUAUUCCAACUAUGUCCAAGAAUUCGGGAGCUUGAUCUCUCAAGGAAUCUGCUGAAUAACUGGACAGCAGUGGCCGAAAUAGCUAUUCAACUACAGUUCCUGCGGAUACUGAAUGUUAGUGAGAAUCACUUAGUGAUACCAGAUGAUGCUUUAUCUCUGAAGUCAUCAUUUCUAUCAUUGGAACAUAUCAUAGUUGGAAAAAUGUCAUACUCCUGGUGUGAUGUAUUGAUUUGUGCCACCAUGUGGCCUCAUAUCCAUAAGUUGCAGGUACCCUUCAACUGCAUAACGACUUUAAGCAGUCCCCCCCCAAAUAUUCUACAGAACCUCCGACUUUUAGAUUUGGAAGGAAAUAAAAUUAGACACUGGCAUGAAAUCAACAAACUUGGUAAACUUAAUACGUUAGAAGUUUUGAACAUCUCAAACACAGGUGUGAGUGAUAUUGCCUUCCCGCUGGAGAAUGAACAACAGAAGACUGAACUUUUUCCAUCAUUAAAACAGCUGCAUCUUUCAGAGAAUAACAUCAGUGAUUGGAAGUAUAUCAGUGAACUGGAAAAACUAAAAAGCCUAGAAGACCUCAAGUUCAGAGACAACCCGGUUUUACAGCAUGAAACUGUGGAAACAUGUUUUCAGCUCAUAAUAGCUAGAAUUGGCAAUUUAAAGAUUCUGAAUGGAAUAUCAGUAACACCAGAAGAGAGGAGAGGAGCUGAAUAUGACUAUAUGAAGCGUCAUGCUCACUCAUGGCUGUCUCUGACAAGUAAUUCGGAGAAAAAAGAACAGCUGAAUGAAUUUACUUUACACCACCCUCGUUACCAAUACCUAGUUGACAGCAGAAUAUGGAGCACCUGAAAAUGGAGAAACUGAAGUUACAUCCCAUACAUUAAAGUCACAACUGAUUCUUGUAGAAAUUCAUGUUCCAGAAAGUAAACACCAACCUAUAACAAAGAGAGUUCCUAGAAACAUGACAGUUCAGAAGUUUAAAGGAUUGAUACAAAAAUUAUUUAAAUUAGAAAAUGAAAUUUCUCAGCUGUCUUGCAG